This 460-nucleotide ribosomal RNA is filed under the name uncultured bacterium. RNAcentral describes it as "partial 16S ribosomal RNA". It matches the Rfam family "Bacterial small subunit ribosomal RNA", at positions 338 to 795 of the family's 1533-position model. The record is from RNAcentral.
CCUACGGGUGGCAGCAGUGAGGAAUAUUGGGCAAUGGGCGGGAGCCUGAACCAGCCAAGUCGCGUGAGGGAAGACGGUCCUAUGGAUUGUAAACCUCGUUAGGCGGGGAGCAAUGCCGGGCACGUGUGCCCGGGUGAAUAGUACCCGCAGAAUAAGCAUCGGCUAACUCCGUGCAAGCAGCCGCGGUAAUACGGAGGAAGCGAGCGUUAUCCGGAUGUAAUGGGUUAAAGGGGUGCGCAGGGGGAUGUUUAAGUCAGCGGUAAAUUGUCGGGGCUCAACCCGGGCCGGCCGUUGAAACUGGGGAUCUGGAGUGGGCGAGAAGUAUGCGGAAUGCGUGGUGUAGGGGUGAAAUGCAUAGAUAUCACGCAGAACUCCGAUGGCGAAGGCAGCAUGCCGGCGCAUGACUGACGCUGAGGCACGAAAGCGUGGGGAUCAAACAGGAUUAGAUACCCCUGUAGUC